AAUUUUGCGCAAUGGGGGAAACCCUGACGCAGCGACGCCGCGUGUGCGAUGAAGGCCUUCGGGUUGUAAAGCACUGUGGGAGGGGACGAAGUCUCAGGGGUUGACCCUGAGGUGACGGUACCCUUCGAGCAAGCCCCGGCUAACUACGUGCCAGCAGCCGCGGUAAUACGUAGGGGGCGAGCGUUGUCCGGAGUCACUGGGCGUAAAGGGCGUCUAGGCGGCCUGACGCGUCGGUUGUGAAAGGAGGCGGGCUCAACCCGCCCGGUGCGACCGAAACGGUGAGGCUGGAGGGCCGGAGAGGGAAGCGGAAUUGCCGGUGUAGCGGUGAAAUGCGUAGAGAUCGGCAGGAACACCAGUGGCGAAGGCGGCUUCCUGGACGGUACCUGACGCUGACGCGCGAAAGCGUGGGGAGCGA
RNAcentral lists this ribosomal RNA (415 nucleotides) under uncultured bacterium. RNAcentral describes it as "bacterial SSU rRNA". It matches the Rfam family "Bacterial small subunit ribosomal RNA", at positions 360 to 771 of the family's 1533-position model. The record is from RNAcentral.